This 905-nucleotide ribosomal RNA is filed under the name uncultured archaeon. RNAcentral describes it as "bacterial SSU rRNA". It matches the Rfam family "Archaeal small subunit ribosomal RNA", at positions 21 to 903 of the family's 1478-position model. The record is from RNAcentral.
CCCUACUGCUAUCGGGAUGAGACUUAGCCAUGCAAGUUGUGCGCUUCCAAGCUAUGUUGGAAGAGCAGCGAACGGCUCCGUAACACGUAGUUAACCUAACCUCGGGACAGGAAUACCCCCGGGAAACUGGGGUUAAUGCUUGAUAGGUGAUGAUUCCUGGAAUGGUUUAUCGUUUAAAGGGCGUUGAGAACAUGCUUUCAACGUUGCCCGAGGAUGGGACUGCGGCCGAUCAGGUUGUUGGUAGGGUAAUGGCCUACCAAGCCUAUAACCGGUACGGGCCCUGAGAGGGGUAGCCCGGAGAUGGGAACUGAGACAAGGUCCCAAGCCCUACGGGGUGCAGCAGGCGCGAAAACUCCACAAUGCACGAAAGUGUGAUGGGGUUAUCCCGAGUGCCGUCCGUUGAGGAUGGCUUUUCUCUGGUGUAAGUCGCCGGAGGAAUAAGAGGGGGGCAAGACUGGUGUCAGCCGCCGCGGUAAUACCAGCUCCUCGAGUGGUAGGGAUGAUUAUUUGGCCUAAAACGUUCGUAGCCGGCUUAUCAUGUCCUUCGUGAAAUCCUGCGAUUAAUCGUAGGGCGGGCGAGGGAUACUGUUAGGCUUGAGGACGGGAGAGGUCGACGGUAGUCUUGGGGUAGGGGUGAAAUCCUAUAAUCCCAAGCCGACCACCAGUGGCGUAGGCGGUCGACUAGAACGUGCCUGACGGUGAUGGACGAAAGCUGGGGGAGCGAACCGGAUUAGAUACCCGGGUAGUCCCAGCCGUAAACGAUGCGGGCUAGGUGUUGGGACAGCUACGUGCUGUCCCAGUGCCGCAGGGAAGCCCUUAAGCCCGCUGCCUGGGAAGUACGGUCGCAAGGCUGAAACUUAAAGGAAUUGGCGGGGGAGAGCUACAAGGGGUGAAGGCUGCGGUUU